Molecule: non-coding RNA, 70 nt
Organism: Phrynosoma platyrhinos (Desert horned lizard)
Lineage: Eukaryota; Metazoa; Chordata; Lepidosauria; Squamata; Phrynosomatidae
Source: the annotation of a GenBank genome assembly
GCUAGUGUGGUGUAAUGGUUUGAGCAUGACUGCUAUUCUGAAGAUCAGGGUUCAAAUCCCUGCUCAGUCA